AUCCCAUGAUGAAGACACUUACGAAGUAACUCCUUGAAUCACUCCCAAGCCUCGUAGAAAGACUUGUCAUCCAAUUCUUGGAAAGUUGUGAUCUUGUUCCUUAACUU
This is a non-coding RNA of Gossypium hirsutum (cotton), 107 nucleotides long. Lineage: Eukaryota; Viridiplantae; Streptophyta; Magnoliopsida; Malvales; Malvaceae. The record is from Rfam.